UUAAGUUCAGCGGGUAUUCCUACCUGAUCCGAGGUCAACCUUGAGAAGUAGGGGUUGUCACGGCGUGGCCGCGCCGCCUUCCCGCCGCGAGGUGAGUUCUACUACGCGGGGGAGGUCGCGACGUGACCGCCACUGUAUUUCAGGGCCGGCCGGCCUCCAUGGGCGCGGCCGAUCCCCAACGCAGGUCCCGCGGACGGGCC
RNAcentral lists this unclassified non-coding RNA (200 nucleotides) under Hypocreales sp. Its description in RNAcentral is "partial internal transcribed spacer 2". Lineage: Eukaryota; Fungi; Ascomycota; Sordariomycetes; Hypocreales. The record is from RNAcentral.